AUGAAUGAAUGCUAUUCUUUUAUGAAGAAUAUAGUAACGUGUAACAUGAAUCAGUUAUUAAACCAGAAUGAACUAAAAAUAGUAAACAAAGACGGAAUAGAUGUAAAAGAUGUAAAUCAUUUUGUUUGUCACAAUUAUUUUGAUGAUAAAGAACUAACACAAAAAAAAGAACAAGAUGUUUUAAAAAAAAAAAAUAAACUUGUUGUUAACAUAACUGUGAAAGAUAUAGCAAAAAACAUGAAAAAGGAUAAAUCCCUGAUGAACAAUAAUAUGGAGCUGUCAACUACUCAUAAGAUAGGAAGCUUACAAGAUGAGGUAAAAUGUGGCAAUUCAUAUGACAGUAUAUGUGACAUUGUAGGCGACACAAACGAGCGAAUAAAUACCCAAUCAAAAUCAACCAGCCAAACAAAUCAAUUAGUUCAUAACAAUAAUGACACUGUUGUCGAUAUCCUCAAAUCGAUUGACGUUUACAAACUGUACAACUUCAAACAUAAUUCAGUUUAUAUGAGUAUAAACAGAGAAGACCUUUAUUUAAAUAACUUUUUCAAUUCGCAUAACUUACAAAUACAAAAAUGUUUUAAUCAUGUAUUAGAAAUUUUACUUAAAAUCAACGAUAACAUGUUUAUUAACACUAUGAUGGCAAAUUUCAAGCGCAACGAAAUAAUAGAAGAAGAAAAAAAAAUUAAAGAAAAAAAAAAUAAAGAAAUAAUAAAUGCCUUAACGAUCCGUAGUCCUGAACAUAACAGUAACAAUGACAAUCGUAACGUUGAUAGAAGUAACAGUGACAAUCAGAACGUUGAUAGAAGUAACAGUGACAAUCAUAACGUUGAUAGAAGUAACAGUGACAAUCAUAACGUUGAUAUAAGUAAUAGUGACAAUCGUAACAUUGAUAGAAGUAAUAGUGACAAUCAUAACAUUGAUACAAGUGACGAUGACAAUCAUAACGUUGAUACAAGUGACGAUGACGGAAGUGAAGUGAACUAUUUUAAAAAACUACUCAAAUUUAGUCCAAGAACUAAAAAAUACAAUAAAAAAGACACAUUGGAGAAACAAAAACAUUAUUUUGAACAUAGUUAUGUACCUGACUACAAACGAAUAAAAGAACACUUCAUUUGUCUCGAUUCCGCCAAAAUGGAUAUACAUGUACCUUCUUAUUCUGUUCAUAUGAAACACCCUCUUUUAGGUCAUAUAAGGAAACUGUAUUAUUAUGGCAUAUCAAAGUUUUAUAAAAAAAAAAAAAAAAAUGCGUUAAAAAGUAAAGAUGAGAAGAUUGCGUCAUUUGAAGAUUGUCAGGCGGUUAGCGAUAUGAG
This 1310-nucleotide long non-coding RNA is filed under the name Piliocolobus tephrosceles (Ugandan red Colobus). RNAcentral describes it as "lncRNA (ENSPTEG00000018847.1)". Lineage: Eukaryota; Metazoa; Chordata; Mammalia; Primates; Cercopithecidae. The record is from RNAcentral.